This 363-nucleotide ribosomal RNA is filed under the name uncultured bacterium. RNAcentral's name for it is "bacterial SSU rRNA". It matches the Rfam family "Bacterial small subunit ribosomal RNA", at positions 917 to 1289 of the family's 1533-position model. The record is from RNAcentral.
GGGCCCGCACAAGCGGUGGAGCAUGUGGUUUAAUUCGAUGAUACGCGAGGAACCUUACCUAGGCUUAAAUGUAGAUUGACUUAUUGGGAAACCAGUAUUUCUUCGGACAAUCUACAAGGUGCUGCAUGGUUGUCGUCAGCUCGUGCCGUGAGGUGUCGGGUUAAGUCCCAUAACGAGCGCAACCCUAUCAUUAGUUGCUAACAUUAGUUGAGGACUCUAAUGAAACUGCCCGCGUAAGCGGUGAGAAGGUGGGAUGACGUCAAAAUCAUCACGGCCCUUACGUCUAGGGCUACACACGUGCUACAAUGGUAACUACAGAGGGAAGCUAGCUGGUGACAGUAAGCAAUCCUUAAAUGUACUCAG